GGAAGUAAAAGUCGUAAACAAGGUCUCCGUUGGUGAACCAGCGGAGGGAUCAUUACCGAGUUUACAACUCCCAAACCCAAUGUGAACCAUACCAAACUGUUGCCUCGGCGGGGUCACGCCCCGGGUGCGUCGCAGCCCCGGAACCAGGCGCCCGCCGGAGGGACCAACCAAACUCUUUCUGUAGUCCCCUCGCGGACGUUAUUUUUACAGCUCUGAGCAAAAAUUCAAAAUGAACCAAAACCUUCAACAACGGAUCUCUUGGUUCUG
Molecule: unclassified non-coding RNA, 267 nt
Filed under: plant metagenome
Description: partial contains small subunit ribosomal RNA, internal transcribed spacer 1, and 5.8S ribosomal RNA
Rfam family: Eukaryotic small subunit ribosomal RNA (bases 1-55)
Source: RNAcentral